Long non-coding RNA from Rhopalosiphum maidis (corn leaf aphid), 319 nucleotides. RefSeq lists it as uncharacterized. The transcript has 6 exons. The record is from RefSeq and is a predicted model, not a curated record. Lineage: Eukaryota; Metazoa; Arthropoda; Insecta; Hemiptera; Aphididae.
GUCGACAUUUCUUUCGACAGUAAUCUGAAGAGUAUACUUAUGACUAUGUCAGGGCAUUACCGAUCAUUUAUGACAGAUACACAAAUACAAAAUGGUUUGAUUUCAAGCUUUUGUAUAGAUAUGAUAACAACUAAUGAUCACACUUAUUUAGUGUUUUUGUUUCAAGACGAAGCUAGAAUGGUUUAUUGAAAUGUAUAAUCAAUAUCAACAAUCUACGAAUAUUUUAAUACGAUAAUAUAAGUUAAAUUAUAUAAUAUUUAUUUAGAUUUAGAUUUAUGCUAUGUAAAUCAUUAUUAUUUCGCUGUAAUGGAUGUAAACA